This 360-nucleotide RNase P RNA is filed under the name bovine gut metagenome. RNAcentral describes it as "Bacterial RNase P class A". It matches the Rfam family "Bacterial RNase P class A". From Rfam's summary of the family: Ribonuclease P (RNase P) is a ubiquitous endoribonuclease, found in archaea, bacteria and eukarya as well as chloroplasts and mitochondria. Its best characterised activity is the generation of mature 5'-ends of tRNAs by cleaving the 5'-leader elements of precursor-tRNAs. RNAcentral also lists the same sequence under 1 other name. The record is from RNAcentral.
GGCUUGUCGCCGGUUCAUUCCCGCAAGGGAACGGACAGGAGGAAAGUCCGGGCAACACAGGGCAAUCCGCUACCUAACAGGUAGAAGUCAGUGAUGGCUAGCCAGUGUAGAAGAAAAUAACCGCAGACACAGUCUGUAAGGGUGAGAAGGUGAGGUAAGGGCUCACCAGGCGUAUGGUGACAUGCGUGCUGUACACACCGGAUGUUGAAAGUUCGCGUAUACCGGCGUUCCGCAAGGAAAAGAGUUGCCCGCUCGAGCUGGAGGGUAGAACGAUAGAGGCAGAUGGUGACAUCUGUCGUAGAUAAAUGACAGGCGGUUCCGCUCAGGCGGGAUGCACAGAACCCGGCUUAUAGAGCCACU